AUGCAAGUGCGAUGCAAGCAAGCACGACUUUGGAAUGAGUGGCAUCAUGAAAACAUCUUUAACAAACACAUUCACAGAGGCAUGUUUGCCUUGUGUGGUGGUCCGGCUCCGUCCAGCCGAGAGAGUAGUCUGGUCCGAGCACUCAGAAUCUGUCGCCUAGGCAUCCGCUGCUUGCAGCCUGGAUGCUACCUGAUUGGCUCACCAAGCACACAAGCAGAGAUCAGGAGCGAGCUGCACCGAGAAAGCACGUCUGAUCACACAUGCUUUGCCUGCGCCGCCUUGGCUCUGGAAGACGGCCACCUGACAAUGAAGCACUCGUCCUAUACAACCUCCCGGCCAGUUUGUUUCUUGUCGAACCUGACUGUUCAGAUGGGCUUGAAGCCCCCUUGGGAAAAUGGGUUGAAAGACUCGCUUUUGGUGUUAGCAACACGUAUCCUUGAGGAUGUGCAAAAAUAG
RNAcentral lists this ribosomal RNA (456 nucleotides) under Triticum aestivum (bread wheat). Its description in RNAcentral is "partial small subunit ribosomal RNA". Lineage: Eukaryota; Viridiplantae; Streptophyta; Magnoliopsida; Poales; Poaceae. The record is from RNAcentral.